This 902-nucleotide ribosomal RNA is filed under the name Salmonella enterica subsp. enterica serovar Elomrane. RNAcentral's name for it is "bacterial LSU rRNA". It matches the Rfam family "Bacterial large subunit ribosomal RNA", at positions 1084 to 1889 of the family's 2925-position model. Lineage: Bacteria; Pseudomonadati; Pseudomonadota; Gammaproteobacteria; Enterobacterales; Enterobacteriaceae. The record is from RNAcentral.
CCCAGACAGCCAGGAUGUUGGCUUAGAAGCAGCCAUCAUUUAAAGAAAGCGUAAUAGCUCACUGGUCGAGUCGGCCUGCGCGGAAGAUGUAACGGGGCUAAACCAUGCACCGAAGCUGCGGCAGCGAACGUAUCACUUAAAGCGAUUCAGCGGGUUACGAUUGACGGAGCGAAGCGACGUCAAAGCGUAUACAAAGUCGAGUCGGUUUAAGGAUACGUUCGUUGGGUAGGGGAGCGUUCUGUAAGCCUGUGAAGGUGGCCUGUGAGGGUUGCUGGAGGUAUCAGAAGUGCGAAUGCUGACAUAAGUAACGAUAAAGCGGGUGAAAAGCCCGCUCGCCGGAAGACCAAGGGUUCCUGUCCAACGUUAAUCGGGGCAGGGUGAGUCGACCCCUAAGGCGAGGCCGAAAGGCGUAGUCGAUGGGAAACGGGUUAAUAUUCCCGUACUUGGUGUUACUGCGAAGGGGGGACGGAGAAGGCUAUGUUGGCCGGGCGACGGUUGUCCCGGUUUAAGCGUGUAGGCUGGUUUUCCAGGCAAAUCCGGAAAAUCAAGGCUGAGGCGUGAUGACGAGGCACUACGGUGCUGAAGCAACAAAUGCCCUGCUUCCAGGAAAAGCCUCUAAGCAUCAGGUAACAUCAAAUCGUACCCCAAACCGACACAGGUGGUCAGGUAGAGAAUACCAAGGCGCUUGAGAGAACUCGGGUGAAGGAACUAGGCAAAAUGGUGCCGUAACUUCGGGAGAAGGCACGCUGACACGUAGGUGAAGUGAUUUACUCACGGAGCUGAAGUCAGUCGAAGAUACCAGCUGGCUGCAACUGUUUAUUAAAAACACAGCACUGUGCAAACACGAAAGUGGACGUAUACGGUGUGACGCCUGCCCGGUGCCGGAAGGUUAAUUGAUGGGG